AGUCCGUACGAGCGCACCCUUGUCCCUAGUUGCCAGCACUUCGGGUGGGAACUCUAGGGAGACUGCCGGUGAUAAACCGGAGGAAGGUGGGGAUGACGUCAAGUCAUCAUGGCCCUUAUGGGGAGGGCUACACACGUGCUACAAUGGCCGGUACAGAGGGCUGCGAAGCCGCGAGGUGGAGCGAAUCUCAGAAAACCGGUCGUAGUCCGGAUUGCAGUCUGCAACUCGACUGCAUGAAGCCGGAAUCGCUAGUAAUCGCGGAUCAGAACGCCGCGGUGAAUACGUUCCCGGGCCUUGUACACACCGCCCGUCACACCAUGGGAGUGGGCUGUACCAGAAGUAGGUAGUCUAACCUUCGGGAGGACGCUUAUCACGGUAUGGUUCAUGACUGGGGUGAAGUCGUAACAAGGUAGCCCUAGGGGAACCUGGGGCUGGAUCACCUCCUUU
RNAcentral lists this ribosomal RNA (447 nucleotides) under uncultured Chromatiales bacterium. RNAcentral's name for it is "bacterial SSU rRNA". It matches the Rfam family "Bacterial small subunit ribosomal RNA", at positions 1083 to 1533 of the family's 1533-position model. Lineage: Bacteria; Pseudomonadati; Pseudomonadota; Gammaproteobacteria; Chromatiales. The record is from RNAcentral.